ACAAAAGUGAUUAUUGGCGAGUCAUUUGGGCGAUGGCGUCCGCUCAAGCAACAAAUGGACCUAAAGACAGAUGCCUUGGUUGCUAAAUUCCUUCUGGACAGAACGAGAGCUGUAGCUUUUGGCCGGCAUGUCAGGAUAAAGGCCUGACAACUGUGCGAAUACAAAUCAGCAGUUAUGUAACUGCUGGUAACCGGAACACUGGCCGCUCUGUGCUGCUGUCACGGCGGGUGGAUACAACACACACACGGAGUGUAGUUGGACCAUCAUCUGACCUGCCAACUCUACACACAGCAUUCUGUAUCUGAUUAUGUUAAAGGCUAAAUGCAGAUCUGUUGAAGAACUCUACGCUCUAUGAAACCGUUUCAUUUUAAUGAAGCCGAGACAUCAGUCUACCCUUUAGUGUCACCCUCAGGCCUGAAAAUAAACAUUCAACCAAGAACCGUGAACCCAGUAAGUCAUUUGACAGAAUUAUCUUGACUCAGAGUUCACAAACUUGUGCUUUAUUUUCACUUUGAACUUUAUCUUAUUGUCUGUUAUAAUAAUUUCAAUAAAAACUAAAAGUGUCUGCGUUAGUUUCCAUUCAGCACUUUGAUAAUGUUAAGUGUAAUAAUUGCAUUUGAAGUCUUUUUAUGGGUUCUGUAAAACAUCUUGAGACAAUUUGACCUGUAAUUGGUGCUAUAUAAAUAAAAUUGAAUUGUUG
Long non-coding RNA from Acanthochromis polyacanthus (spiny chromis), 700 nucleotides. RefSeq lists it as uncharacterized. NCBI's taxonomy places the organism in Eukaryota, Metazoa, Chordata, Actinopteri, Pomacentridae. The record is from RefSeq and is a predicted model, not a curated record. The transcript is spliced from 3 exons.